AGGACGAACGCUGGCGGCGUGCUUAACACAUGCAAGUCGAGCGGUAAGGCCCUUCGGGGUACACGAGCGGCGAACGGGUGAGUAACACGUGGGUGACCUGCCCCCUACUCUGGGAUAAGCCUGGGAAACUGGGUCUAAUACCGGAUAUGACAUAGUCCUGCAUGGGGUUGUGUGGAAAGUUCUUCGGUGGGGGAUGGGCCCGCGGCCUAUCAGCUUGUUGGUGGGGUGAUGGCCUACCAAGGCGACGACGAGUA
RNAcentral lists this ribosomal RNA (254 nucleotides) under uncultured soil bacterium. RNAcentral's name for it is "partial 16S ribosomal RNA". It matches the Rfam family "Bacterial small subunit ribosomal RNA", at positions 26 to 285 of the family's 1533-position model. The record is from RNAcentral.